This 231-nucleotide ribosomal RNA is filed under the name uncultured bacterium. Its description in RNAcentral is "partial 16S ribosomal RNA". It matches the Rfam family "Bacterial small subunit ribosomal RNA", at positions 118 to 347 of the family's 1533-position model. The record is from RNAcentral.
UGAGUAACCUGCCCUUCACUCUGGGAUAACUCCGGGAAACCGGGGCUAAUACUGGAUAUGACUCGAACAGGCAUCUGUUUCGGGUGGAAAGAUUUAUUGGUGGAGGAUGGACUCGCGGCCUAUCAGCUUGUUGGUGAGGUAAUGGCUCACCAAGGCGACGACGGGUAGCCGGCCUGAGAGGGCGAUCGGCCACACUGGGACUGAGAUACGGCCCAGACUCCUACGGGAGCA